Molecule: ribosomal RNA, 402 nt
Filed under: uncultured bacterium
Lineage: Bacteria
Description: bacterial SSU rRNA
Rfam family: Bacterial small subunit ribosomal RNA
Source: RNAcentral
ACUCCUACGGGAGGCAGCAGUGGGGAAUAUUGCACAAUGGGCGCAAGCCUGAUGCAGCAACGCCGUGUGAGUGAAGAAGGUUUUCGGAUCGUAAAACUCUGUCCUAAGGGAAGAAACAAAUGACGGUACCUUAGGAGGAAGCCCCGGCUAACUACGUGCCAGCAGCCGCGGUAAUACGUAGGGGGCAAGCGUUAUCCGGAAUCACUGGGCGUAAAGGGUGCGUAGGCGGCUUAGCAAGCCAGGGGUGAAAGGCAUUGGCUCAACCAAUGUAAGCCUUUGGAACUGUUAAGCUUGAGUGCAGGAGAGGUAAGUGGAAUUCCUAGUGUAGAGGUGAAAUUCGUAGAUAUUAGGAGGAACACCAGUGGCGAAGGCGACUUACUGGACUGUAACUGACGCUGAUGC